GACGAACGCUGGCGGCGUGCUUAACACAUGCAAGUCGAGCGGAGCGGCGAACGGGUGAGUAACGCGUGAGUAACUGCCCCCCUCUCUGGGAUAACAGUUGGACCCGGCUGCUAAUACCGGAUAUUGGGGGAUGACUCGCGUCCUAGCAGCUUUUUGGUGGGGUCGUGGACUACCAAGGCGACGCCGGGUAGCCGGACUGAGAGGGCGACAGGCAACAUUGGGCUGGGAUACGGCCCAAACUCCGACGGGAGGCAGCAGUGGGGAAUAUUGCACAAUGGGGGAAACCCUGAUGCAGCAACGCGCGGGCGGGAUGACGGCCUUCGGGUGGUAAACCGCUUUCAGCAAUGACGCGGUAGUGGCAGAAGAAGCACCGGCUAACUACGUGCCAGCAGCCGCGGUAAUUC
RNAcentral lists this ribosomal RNA (404 nucleotides) under uncultured bacterium. RNAcentral's name for it is "partial 16S ribosomal RNA". It matches the Rfam family "Bacterial small subunit ribosomal RNA", at positions 28 to 526 of the family's 1533-position model. The record is from RNAcentral.